UUGAAACCAGCUCAACACAAGAUUGACAUAAGGGAAGCCAUAUUGUAGAAAAGGGACCAUGUUGUAACUUUGAAUGACCUCUGACUGACUAACCCAGCUGGAUUUGCACCCUCCAGGAGAUCCACCUGUUCUGUGGAUUUUAUGACCUCUGCUAGUGCAUAUACCUGCCAGCAGCAAUAAGAUGAUAACUUCAUGCUUUUGAGUUCCUUAGGAAUGUGAUGACCCCCCAAACAGAGAGUCUAUGCUGAUAGUCAUCUUCAAUGAAAACUGAAAGAUCUGGUGUGGCAACUCCCAGUCUGCAACACCAGAGGGUCAACAUUCCUAACCCCUCCCCUAUAACCCACUGGCCUAUAUAACUACUUCAAGAUUCUGUGCCCCCAUUAAGAUCGUUCUUUUGGACAUUACUAGGCUGUCUUCCCUCUUGCUAGCAAGCUGUAAUAAAAUGCCCUUUCUCUGCCAUCAUCUUGCCUCUUGACGAUUGGUUUUUGUCUUGCAGUGAGCAAGACAAAUCGUGCCCUUUGUGUGGUAACAAAAUCUGGUGACCAUGAAGGGACAAUAAGUUCUGCUCAUGGCCAGUCGACCUCAGAUGAGUGACCUGUUGGUGCUAUGUCCUGAGAGCUUGGCUUGGUGACGUCUCUGGUCACAAGGGGUCCCAGUCCAUCGGGGGCCUGUGUCGUCUCAACCUUUGUUGCCUGUCAGUGCACUACCACCUGUGCAGCAGAAGCCUUUGCUUCCUUGGAUUAUUUUUGGGAGUGAAGUUUCUAGAUCUUGUGAGGUCUGCUUCUUUUGCACUCUCUUGUGAAGAUGCCUCUUGCAUCCAAGAUAUGUUUCGUAUUCAGAGAAAUUCGUGGAAAGGACUCUGACACUCUGGAAUACAGGUUUCUGACCCACUUCAGAUCGUAAAACUGAAGUGGGUAAGAAAUUAUAGAACUCUAAUAGAGAAACUGAUGAGCUCAUGAAACUGCUGACAGAAGAUUAAGAUCAAGAAUCAAUUACACAGGACUGUGGAACUGAUGAGCAGGAUUAUAAUUUUUAUGAUUUUUGUUUAAAAUCUUGUUGAUUUUUUAAUGUUUUGUUUUGUUUUCCCAGAUUUUAGGAAAUCUUUUUUUUUUCUCUUAUGCUAACUAUGACUUAUAGCAAUUUGGUGAAAUUAUACCUUUGUGAGCAGAAUUGAAACAUUUAUCUUUUUCUCCCUACCUGAUCCCUCCAGAAUUUGGAAACUCUUAGUGAGUGAGUGAGUAUGGUUAUUUUCAUGGCAAUAUAGUUAUUUGCAUAAGUUCAGUAAGAAUCUGUUCCCCUUAUAACAGGACACAUUUGGAAACAUUGAUUAUAUAACCAAGGCUUUGACUAGAAUGCCAUAUUUGAGAGACACAUAUAGACUCAGAUAUGACAAGACAGCUUUUGAGGAAUAAAUGUUGACUUCUUGGAAUAAAGCCACUUGGAAAUAUUGGCCUGAUAACUUGUUUACAAGGAUUCCAGCAACCUGGGUAAGUAAGGAAGGUCACUUAUCUGGCAGGUACCUGGAACCUUGAAAUACUUUGGGGAACCUCAAGGCAAGAGAGGAAUUCACUCAAAUCUAAAGUGUUGCAGGCGGAGCCUGAUGACAAAUCCUUGGCUUGGAUUUUCUGGCCUCAAGAAGCUUUUAAAGUUCAACCUGAGAUUCCUUAUAAAAAGUUCCAGCAAAGCAGAUUUUAAAAAGCAUAUAUGAUCAAUGGCUAUUCUUGCUGUACUUAUGUAAAUAAUUGAAUUAAGUUUUAUUGAAACUAGGCUUAUUUUGCAAACUAAUGAGUCUUAAUUGGCUAUCUUUGGUAAAAAGGGGGUGAUUUUAGAGAGAAAAAUUAUAUUUCAGUAGGAGCUAUGGUACACAUUCGUGGAUAUUAGAUUCUAGUUCUGUUAAGUGCAUUUGAGGUUUUUGUUUGUAUCUGUUUACUGUACUGGAUCCUAAACUCUUCUAGUCUCUUGAAAUAUCUGGCUACAUAUCUCCAAACUAGCUAUUUCAAUAUUUUUUUCCAUCAUUUUCACUUGGAAUCAUUGAGAACUGAACCUGCCCUUUUCCUGCCAAGUCUUGCAAACUGAAGCUGGAGGACUUGAUAUAAACUUAAGAGGGAGAGAUUCAUAUCUGUUGCUGUGUAAGCCCCUCAGAAAGAUACCUGAACACCCAAUGACAUCAUCAGGGACAUCUAAAACUGCAAAAGAUGCUUUGACCCUGACAUCUAGAAAUCUUCUUGACUGGCUGCCCCUGGGCUCAGAACUGGUUUAUAAUUUGCUCCCACCAUUAGCCUUACUCUCCUUCUGUCUCUCUAGAAAUGCUUCUUAUUAAAUACCUGGUUACUUGCUUACCCAAUAUAGGCCUAACUUCAGGAACCCACCUGCAUCACCAUCUUACUAAGAGACUGGUUCAAUGAGAUGGAACAACCUAUGCUCCUCAACGACAGGAUGUCCCUCAAGAUUGAGGAAUGAAAAACAAAAAGGCAGAAUUGAAACCGACUCAACACAAGAUUGACAUAACGCAAGCCAUAUUGUAGAAAAGAGACCAUGUUGUAACUUUGAAUGACCUCUGACUGACUAACCCAGCUGGAUUUGCACCCUCCAGGAGAUCCACCUGUUCUGUGGAUUUUAUGACCUCUGCUAGUGCAUAUACCUGCCAUCUGCAAUAAGAUGAUAACUUCAUGCUUUUGAGUUCCUUAGGAAUGUGAUGACCCCCCAAACAGAGAGUCUAUGCUGAUAGCCAUCUUCAAUGAAAACUGAAAGAUCUGGUGUGGCAACUCCCAGUCUGCAACACCAGAGGGUCAACAUUCCUAACCCCUCCCCUAUAACCCACUGGCCUAUAUAACUGCUUCAAGAUUCUGUGUCCCUUUUAAGAUUGUUCUUUUGGACAUUAUUAGGCCAUCUUCCCUCUUGCUAGCAAGCUGUAAUAAAAUGCCCUUUCUCUGCCACCAUCUUGCCUCUUGACGAUUGGCUUUUGUCCUGUGGCGAGCAGAUUGGGCUCUUUGUGUGAUAACAGUUUGAUUACUCUAAGCCUUCUCCCAAUGUUCUUGGCUACUUGUCCUUCUUCCUUAGAGCAUUUGUCUUGUCUCUAAGCCCUUGCUUUAAACCUAUGCUGUCUCCUCAUGGUGUCACACAUGCACACAGAGGACAGAAACACUUUCUUAAUGGAGGAUUGGAACCAAAGUGUUUGAAGAGGCCCCUCAGCACCCCUGAGCAUGGAGGCCAGAGUGGUUUGUCCUUCACCGUCACCAUGUCUCAUUCUCCUAAAGAGCUGGCUCAAAAGGAAAUGCACAGAUGCCCAGACUAUUUGCUAAAGGAAAUGACACAUUAUCCUCUUCCGAACAUCUGGUAAUUCCUAAAAGACAGUCAGGCCCUGAUAAUACGGUUGGCUCACUAGAAGCCUGAGUCUUCUUUCCCAAGGGAGGUGGGGGCGAACCAAGGAGGACAGAGUCUAUUUUUGGUGUCAGCCCUAGGGGAUGCCUUGAGGAGGGGGAGAGGGGUCACCAGCACUGCUGUUCUGUUCUGUUCUGUGAGCCAGGAAUGCAUGCUUCCUUCCUGUCCAGCCCUGAGCAGCCGUCUCUUUCUUAAGUUUCAGAUCUUCCAUGGAGAGCUGAAAAGAUUUAAAAAUUCCAUCAUGGGCCGGAAUGGCUUGACAUGAGGGCAGGUGAACUAAUGACUUGGGGAAAUGAGAUUUGUCAGAACACUGGGUGUUGAAGUUACUGCAAAGGAAAGCAGAGCUGUGUCAGGUUGAGUGGCUAUCACAAGAUGGAAUAGUGACUCAGAGGACUCACUAGCAUCUGGCUGCCCCUUGGCUAGGAAAUGCACAUUUUUUUUAGCCCUAAGGCAUCCUCUGGAGGCAAAAUGCAACAUGUAGAAAGAAUAGGAGAGGUGUGCGUGGAGUGCCUCGCUUCCCCAGUUAAUUGAUUUUGCACAGGUGAGAAGAAGCAAGCCUUGAACUCAAUGGGAAAUCCCGGAGGUGGAUGCCUCAGGACUGACCCCCGUUGGUCAGCAUCUAGACCAAUGAAGCACCUUAAGUCGAGGACUGAGAGAAGCAAGUCUUGUUCUCAUUAAAUUAGCCCAGGACUGGGGAGUGGGUGGAGGGGGUUGGGGAGGGCACCUCUGCCUCAGGAUCUAAGGCCACUUGUUGUACCAGGUCUUUGUUUUGUCCCAGCCAGGGCACUCUGGGGAAAGCAUCCUGAGAAUUCGCCCUGCAAACAGAAAGGGCAUUUCCUUGUGUGGGUUUCCUGUUUAGGUCUGCGUAGAAACCCAAAGGAUCACUUGGCCUCAUAAAUCCUCUAGACAUUACUGAUGUAGAUGCUCUGGCUAGAUGCCAUGGGAAAAUUGCACAAAAAUAGAAGAAGAGAGGAAAGCGCAUUCCCUCUCAGGAUUCUGGGUGGGUUUCAGGCUUCAUGUUUUUGUAAAUAGAGGGGGUUGGGCUAGAGGAGAUGAUCUUAAGUUCCCUUCCAGCUUUGCUAUUCUCAGAUUCCGUUGCCCUCCCAAGGGUCACCCGGAGCUCCCGCUCUCCCGCUCAGUAAUGGGGGUCUGCUGAGCACCUCUCCAAACAGAAGCAGGAUGGAAGUUUCAGGCAAAAAAUCAGGAAGUUGCCUUAGAAUCUCUUUUAGGCUCCUUCACAGAAAAAAGGUACUGGUUGAACUCUGGUAAUUCCCAGACUUUCCUAAACAUUUAGUUUUUUCCAAAAAUGACAGAUACCAGAUUCAGGAGUAUUGCAGGAGGUUUGCGGCUGGGUUUUGGCAUAAAGCAAGUUCACAGAAUGGACUCAAAAGUGGUGGAUAAGAUGUGUGUUAGGAGAUAUCACGCAUUUCGGGAUUCUUUUUUACUUCCUGUUCCCCUCAAGUUUUGCAUGUGUCAAAUGGGCAUUCAAACCUGUUGGUUUAAUGGAAGAAGCCAUGUUUUCAUACUUAUUCUGUGACAGAUUCCCCUUGGAGUCUGACCAAACAUUAGGUUAGAUGAGAGCGAUGAGGUGAAGACAGGAUUUCUUGCCGAAGAUUCCUGUGAGGAUAUUCUCAUUGUCUUAAAUUAUACUUUUUGUGUUCUAUUUUCUCACUUGUCCUUGUUUGUAUCAUUUAAAAAAUUUCUCAUAUGGAACUGCCCUUUUUUGGAAAGGCAGUACUAAAAUGAUAUUGAGUAACAUUAAGUUAACCUCCUUAGACUGGCGGUUCAGUGCUCUAGUAAGCUGACUAGAUAUUCUACUUAAAUGUGGAUAGACCCAUUUAUACAGCAACAUUUCUCAAGGCAAGAUUGCUCUCUUCUCAGUUCUCUCAGGUAUGAAUUGUGAUGUUUGUCUAUAAAAGUCAUUCCCUAGAGGAUAUUCUUACAUCUUUGUAAAUAAUUCAGCAAAGGAAGAUUACUUCCAAGGUCCCCUUCUGUUAUUUCACUUCCAAAUUUUGCUGUUGUGUAUCUGAAAUACAUUCUCCUUUUCCCUUGCUGACUCUGAAGUGGUUCUUAACUAAAGAAGCGGGAGGAAGGUAAAACGAUAUGAAGUUCUAAGCUUUCUGGGUCAGCACUCCCCAGAACACUAGUCCCUGGAAAGGUGUUUUCGAAUGUGCUUUCUGUGUCAAAUGUGUUGGAAAAUGCUGCUGUCCUUGAGAAUCACACUGCACUCUAGGGUGUUAGAACUCUGAAAAUUCAGACAAUAAAGAAACGUGUUCAACUUUAACUCAGCACUUCUCAAACUUAUCUGAUCAAGAACAUCUCUUUUUAUAUGAUAUCUUUAGCAGCCGUUAACAGAUGGAGGAGUAAGUGUUACAUGGGAAACAUUUUGAGAAAUGUUCUUCUCAGCCAGAAGACAGAGUUCACUGUCUUUUAUUUAGCACCUGGGGAUAUAUAUAUAUAUGCUAUAUAUAUAUAUAAAUACUAUGUAUAUAUAUAUAUACUAUGUACAUAUAUGUACAUAUACAUACAUAUACUGUGUCUAUUUUUGUUUGCCCCAUAUCUUCAACAAUGAACAUGAAUUAUUUCUAUAUUUCAGCUGAAAAACAAAAUAAACUUUAUUUUUAAAAAAGAAUCAACAUUAAGUUUCUAUACUUUUCAUUCGUGCUUAAGUGGACACAUCCACCUGCCUGCGGAGAAGCCGUCGGUUGUUCCUCCCACUUCUAGUCAGUUAUCUUGGUUUGCUUGGGGUUCCAUAGCGCUUGUCUUCUAAGGUCCUCUGUGUCUGUCCUUGGAGUGCGGACAGCUCCUUCAGACUGAGGGUAAAGCAAUUCACACAUGGCGGAAUGGUCCACCUGGGACAAGGAAAUGGCCCAAUCAAGCCCUCCAUACUAACUUGUUACUGGAUCAUGUGUCCAUGGGAGGACGUUGGCAGACCAGUCGGAAUUCUUGGUUGCUACCAAGCAAAAUCUCUCCUAGUUGACUUGAGCGGAAAGUGAACUUAUUGGAAGAGUGUUGUGCAGCUCACAGAAUCAGUGGGAAGGCUAGAGAACCAGGUGAUGAAAAUGAAUAAAAAUUGAGGGAGGCAGGACACAGCCAAGAUCUUGCCAGAGGGAUAGUCCACUUAGGGUGCGCCGCUGCUGCUGUCACUGCUGGACACGUGUCAUAAUGCUGCUGGGCUCUGAUCAGGCAUUGGUUGCUAUGCUUGCGGGCACUCAAAUCCACCACAGCCACUGCAAAUGACUUCUGCCUCCCCACAGGCUUCAGGUCCUAGAUGACAUGAUGGGGUCUCUGAUGGGCUGAGCCCAAGUGAUGUGCUGGUUUCCUAGUUUCUGGGGCACAGAUAGAAACUCUCUGCCCUCUUUGGCUUCUAAAGUAGGAAUCGGGGUCUUGCCUUCCCUCUAUUCUGGGGUUCCCCCCAAAUGGGAAGGAUGUUUAAAGGCUGGGAAACUAGAAUGACAAAUAUGUAUAACAUUUCGGUUUUCCGUCCAAGAGUUGCUGGGACCUUGGAGAGGCAGGGUCAAAUCAGGGCCAGCCCUGUUCAGAAAGGAACUCACUCUCCCAGAGCCGCAUUUUGCAUGGUUUUCUUUCAACCUGGAUUCCUAAGAUGGCAAAGCUUCCAGCAGAUUUCUUGAUCAGUUGAUAGAAAAAUCUGCCCCUCGGAAUAACUGACCUCUCCUAAUAAAAACCAUACUAAAUAAUAAAAUCAGAGUGGUCAUUUUUCAGAGGAACCAGGAGGCAUAUGCAGACUGCCCACCCCACUAGAGGCGUAGACUUUGUUGCUUACUGUCUGUCAGCCACAUGCGUUGUCUGCAGGGCACUGACCAAGAAAAAUGAAGGAAUAACAAAGCAUCAGCAGGAUUUUUUCUCUGACGAGCUUACAGUUUAGGGAAGCUGAUUAAAUAGAUUGAAAGGCCCUCUGAGUACAGGGAAUGGGAAAGGAAUGGAAAGUGUAAACACGGAUCUCCUAUUGACUUCCUUAUUCGGGAACAUAUCUUUCUGCUUGCAAACUUCUAGAUGUUGGGGUUGAGUCCAGAAACCAAAAGAUGAGGUCCAAGGAGAGAGAUGGUACUGCUGUGGCUGCUGACAAAUCCUUAGAUGCCAGACCCAGACCCAAAACUGGACUGUGUAGGAGAAAACUGGUGGGGGUGACCACUUCAGAGCCUGGAGUCUUAGGAGUGGAACUAGAAAUCAGUGAUUAAAAAAUGAGAAAAAUUCCUUGUUUUGGAACUAACUUGGCUAUGCUCACCUCAGAAUUGUCCAGCCACUUGAACAGCUUCCAUUGUUCACUGGGACCUUUUGAGGAUUGUCAAUCUAUUCACAGGGAAGCGGGUUCCAAGAUCAGAGUCUGUUUCCAAUGGGUCAUGAGUACAAAGAGCAUGCCUUUCAAUCUGUAAAUUACCUCCCCGGAAAAUCAGGAGAAAAGAAAUUGAAGAGUGGAAAGGAGGCCUGAGGCUACAGGUACAUCAACAUUUAAAGAAUGUGUCAAGUAUGAACUCUAGUCGAUGUGGUGGAAUUCAAGUACAUAUACACUGUAGAGAGCAGGAAGCUUGGAAAAUAAAGCUUUCCUACGUCUUCUGGAAUGUAGACACUUUGUUCAGGAUCUACAAGGUAAAGAAUUCCAUAGGAAGUAUUUGUUUAAUUAAUUGUAGCCAGAACUUAGCUGUGGGUAGGCCAGAUUCCAUGGUGUAAUGUUAUUGCUUCUCCAAGCAGGAUACGUGCAUACUUUAACUCAAGUGCAAACCCACAAGAUUUGAACUCCUAACCUUUAAAAAAUAAGGCAGUUACUUUGGCCACCAGGCAUCCCGGUUCUUGUUUACCAGGACUGGGAGUUCUUAUCAGACAGAGCCCUGCUUAUUCCAUGCCCCUGGCAGAAUCAUACUGAGAAACCUGAAGGAAUGUCCAUUUUAAAAUAGUGUCUGUGGCACCAAAAGGAUUCUGGGGCUCUGAAUCAGCCUCUUACCUCAUGGCAAAAUUCAUAGCUUGCAGAGUUAAAUGAAAAUCAGAUUGGAAUGUACGGCCUUCUAUUUUUCCGUAAUGACAUGUUGUGAGGAGCAGGAGGGCAAUUUUCUUGGACAUUCCUCUAAAACCAGUGCACUUGCACAGGGUGUUUUUGGUAUACAAAACUAUCUGAAACAGACCCACAGCCCACUGCCCUCUCUGGGUGCCAGGGCUCAGGGCCACAUAGGCCAUUUGUCCAAAGACUGUAAGUAAAAUCAACAAUCAUUCAUUUCCCUCAACGCGUUAGCCUCUUUUCAAAGCAGUCAGAAAGUAGACUGUGGUACUUCCUCUUUUCUCUGAAGUAGUUUAAUGAUAACAGAAGAAAAAGUAUUCUCUAAAACACAAUCUUAGACUUCAACUCCACCUACAAGCUGAAAGAAUUUUGUAAGGAAACAAGAAAAAAAAAGGAAAGAAAUGUCUGUUCCUCACAUCUAUGAAAAAUCCACAUACUAUGACCUGAGAAGGAAAAAUAAACAUAGUCCAUGAAAUUCUGUGGCAAAAAGGAAUGAAAAUGUUCUUAGAAAAAAAAAGAAAACUGAACUGUAUUCUCUGCAGGUUUAAAGGCAACUUUUGCCAAAAUCUGCUUUCUGGAAACUUUCCUGUAGACCUGGCUCCCACCAGCAGGCUUGGCGGCAAGAGAAGGGCUUGGAAGACUGUGGCUUGGAAUGUGUGAAUGUUAAAAUCAGACAUCGUUCCCUUUUCUCUAUAACAACAACAAGACUUUGGUUUUGGCUGGAUGCAUGCUGGGGUUUCCGGUCCUGCCUUGAAUCUCUUCCUGCUUCAGCUCAGAACUGUUGAGGGGAUCUCAAUACUCCAGUUCAUUUUCUCUUUGACCACCAGUUUCCCCUUUCUCACAAUGCCCCUGAGAAGCCAAUAGACACCAUUUUCAUGCUGAAACGAAGAAAUAACUGAGUGAGUAGGAAAUGAGAUGUAGAAGGCCACACAGCAAGUUGGAAGAAGAUUCUGGAUGGAAAGUUGGAAUUUCCAUGUCUUCCCCAGGUCUGCAAGCCUGGUCCACUAAGCUAAGUUUUUCUGAGACAUUGAGGCCCACAGAUGCAUGCUGACUCACAGGCAUAAGGUGAGACUUCAAGCUGGGAGUCAGCACUCUGCAGAGUGACUAGAUAUGAAAUACUUUAAUAAAAUAAUUAUCACUUGCUGGGGCAGAGUUAUAAUUUAAAGUGGUUUUGUCACGGAUUAUUCUAAUUUGUAACACAUUAUAAUUCAGACAGAACAAGGCUAAUAUUCAGCCUAAUCCUAUGUAUAAAAAGACUUGCUGAACAAAUAUAAAAUAUAUUAUAGGAACUGUGUCUCAUGUCAUAGAUCAUAUGUCACAGACUUAAGAACAAGACACAAGAAAUAACAGAUUCAAUGACUGUUGAAUUGUGGGGAACUAUGUUUUCAGGAAGCACUGCUAUACGAUAAUCAUUGAUCCUGUUAUUUCCUGUGUCUUGUUCUUAAGUCUGUUCCAGAUGAUCUGUGACAUGAGACGCAGUAGUAGUCUCAUAGUAGAGACAUAGGUAGUCUGUGUAACUGACCACAUUGCUCAGCAGCUGCUGCAACUGAAAAAGUUGUUUCCAGGAAAGGGCACAUGCUGAAGUCAUUUUCACUGGAUCUUGGAGGCAAGCGGAUCUCUUUAUGUUUCAGUGGCAUGUAGAAACAUUCAGGAGGAAAUUGGGAACGUGCACCAGCAGAACCAGAGAACAUGCUGAAGAGUCUAUUUAAGGAGCAGUGGUGGACUGAGAGACUGAGAAUUCGCUGCAGUUACUAUAAAAUGCUUCCUGAUACAGGCAUGGGUUGUGGGACAGUGUGGGACACAGAAAAGGAUCAUCAGAUGACAAUGAACCAGGCGCAAUGGAAGGAUCAGGAAGGACCAAGGCAGAGAUAUUUCUGUUGGUCAUACUUAUUUAAAACAAAAACCAGAGCCACAUUGUAUAUUAUUCAUAGCUUGUUGCAUGCAUAUAUUUGUCUGUUAACUGUUUAUUGUUGUUUUAUGAUGUUGGUUUAUUUUAUUUUAUUUUUUUCGUGAGGAAGAUUGGACCUGAGCUAACAUCUGUGCCAAUCCUCCUUUAUUUUUUGUAUGUGGGACACUGCCACAACGUGGUGUGAUGAGUGGUGUAGGUCCACACCCAGGAUCUGAACCUGUGAACCCCAGGCUGCUGAAGCAGAGAGUGCCAAACUUAACCACUACGCCACUGGGGCAGCCCAUGAUGUUGGUGUUUUUUAUACUAUUUCUGUUGAUUUCAUAAAAUUGGACUAAAACCAUAUCUUCUUGUAUUAUUACAGAUUGAUUUUAGGCAUUUUAGUUGAAGAUGACAGAUUAAUUGUAUACAUUAGCCUUCAUUCUCUUCUAAACUGUUCUAACAUACAGUAAAGGGAGCUAGUGGGGAAAAAGGCAUAAAUCACAAAGACAGAGAGAAUAGAUCAGGAGACAACAAUACCAAAAGUUUGCGUGCUGGAAAGUAACUGGCCAAAUGAUAGCUACUUAGGAGAUCUGAGAAUGCCAGAUUUUAUAAUGGUAAUUGGGAAACUGAGAAAGCAAUCUAAUUUACACUGAAGAUCCCCCAAAAGACUUAGGAAUUGGUGACUGGAGGUUCUUCUUGAAAUGAGGUUGAAGUUGAGCUACAAUCAGCAGAUUGGAUGAAAGUCUACUUAAAAAGUGGUUAGAUGGAUGAAUGGACAGAUAGAAUGUGGUGUAUCCAUACAAUGGAAUAUUAGUCAGCAAUAAAAAGAAAUGAAGUUCUGAUUCAUGCCACAACAGCAUGCCUUGAACAUUAUGCAAAGUGAAAGAAGCCAGUCACAAAGAACCACAUGUUGUAUGCUUCCGUUUAUAUGAAAGGCCCAGAAUAGGCAAAUCCAUAGAAAUAGGAAGUAGAUUAAGGGUUGUGUAGGUCUAGUGGGAGGUAAGAAUGGAGAACUUCUGCUAAUCUGGAUGGGUUUUCUUCUGGAGGUAAUAAGAAUGUUCUAAAAUUGAUUGUAGUGAUGGAUGCUCUCUGUGAAUAUACUAAAAACUGUUGAAUAGUACACUCCGUUUAGGUGAAGUUGUAUCCUCUGUGAAUUAUAUUUCAAUAAAGCUGUUUUUUAAAAAAAG
RNAcentral lists this long non-coding RNA (11467 nucleotides) under Equus caballus (horse). Its description in RNAcentral is "lncRNA (ENSECAG00000051557.1)". The record is from RNAcentral. Lineage: Eukaryota; Metazoa; Chordata; Mammalia; Perissodactyla; Equidae.